CUCAUACGUAUCGAAAUAUACAAUCAGUUCCACCCCCCCUCCUCCAGCCCGCUAACGCACACUUUAGGUAUGUACGGAUCUUAAUAUUGCAUAGCAGUGUUAUCAAGAUCAUGAAGCAUGUAGUUUAGUUGUUGACAGGGCCGGCAAUAAGUCGCGUUUCUCUCCACGAAAGUUCUAUCACAUCGUCACAAAGUUUUUGCGAGUUUAGCAUAGCUUCAUUUUAAACCGUCGUACAUCUUCGGCGGUUUCCGAAUACCGUAACGUCUCUGGAACGUUGAAGCGUUGAAGCAAGCUACCUUUCUGAUUGGUUCUGGAAGGACUGUAAGGCGGAGGCUCUAUAUAAACUGGAGUAUUCCAGGACCUACGAUUGUCUCUAACGGUAAUUCGGGUAGGAGGAAGGUAAAGCGGUACGUUGAGGGUCAUUUGAGUGCAUUUGGGGAUCCUUACUAGGACUCAGUUCCAAAUUAUCGUAAAUAGAGCAACG
This is a non-coding RNA of Paramuricea clavata, 484 nucleotides long. Lineage: Eukaryota; Metazoa; Cnidaria; Anthozoa; Malacalcyonacea; Plexauridae. The record is from the annotation of a GenBank genome assembly.